This 214-nucleotide long non-coding RNA is filed under the name Eutrema salsugineum. RNAcentral's name for it is "long non-coding RNA (ESAL_LNC002225)". Lineage: Eukaryota; Viridiplantae; Streptophyta; Magnoliopsida; Brassicales; Brassicaceae. The record is from RNAcentral.
UCAGCUUAGCUGUCCUAGAAGUAGAGAAGAACUUGGAUAAAAAGGCAAGCUUGCACUGCUCCCAAGUCUGUAUGGAACCUCUAGGCAGAUUCUUCUCCCAUUGGUGUGCCUUGUCUCCUAGACUGAAUGGGAAAAGCUAUCUUCAGAGACACCAUUGAUUUUGGUGAGGUCACAAACUCUGUCAAACUGGUCUAGGUGCUCCAAAGGAUCCUCC